RNAcentral lists this ribosomal RNA (1339 nucleotides) under uncultured bacterium. Its description in RNAcentral is "bacterial SSU rRNA". It matches the Rfam family "Bacterial small subunit ribosomal RNA", at positions 69 to 1399 of the family's 1533-position model. The record is from RNAcentral.
AGAGACCUUCGGGUCUCUAGUGGCGAACGGGUGAGUAACACGUAGGGAACCUGCCCGCGCACCGGGAAUACGCUCUGGAAACGGAGAACAAAUCCCGAUGUACAGGAAGGAGGCAUCUUCUUUCUGUGAAACAUCCUUUAGGGGAUGGGGCGCGGAUGGACCUGCGGUGCAUUAGUUGGUUGGCGGGGUAAAGGCCCACCAAGACGAUGAUGCAUAGCCGGCCUGAGAGGGCGGACGGCCACAUUGGGACUGAGACACGGCCCAAACUCCUACGGGAGGCAGCAGUAGGGAAUCUUCCACAAUGGACGAAAGUCUGAUGGAGCAACGCCGCGUGAGUGAAGAAGGGUUUCGGCUCGUAAAGCUCUGUUGGUAGUGAAGAAAGAUAGAGGUAGUAACUGGCCUUUAUUUGACGGUAAUUACUUAGAAAGUCACGGCUAACUACGUGCCAGCAGCCGCGGUAAUACGUAGGUGGCAAGCGUUGUCCGGAUUUAUUGGGCGUAAAGCGAGUGCAGGCGGUUCAAUAAGUCUGAUGUGAAAGCCUUCGGCUCAACCGGAGAAUUGCAUCAGAUACUGUUGAACUUGAGUGCAGAAGAGGAGAGUGGAACUCCAUGUGUAGCGGUGGAAUGCGUAGAAUUUUGGAAAGACACCAGUGGCGAAGGCGGGCUCUCUGGUCUGCAACUGACGCUGAGGGCUCGAAAAGCAUGUGUAGCGAACAGGAUUAGAUACCCUGGUAGUCCAUGCCGUAAACGAUGAGUGCUAAGUGUUGGGAGGUUUCCGCCUCUCAGUGCUGCAGCUAACGCAUUAAGCACUCCGCCUGGGGAGUACGACCGCAAGGUUGAAACUCAAAGGAAUUGACGGGGGCCCGCACAAGCGGUGGAGCAUGUGGUUUAAUUCGAAGCAACGCGAAGAACCUUACCAGGUCUUGACAUCCAGUGCAAACCUAAGAGAUUAGGUGUUCCCUUCGGGGACGCUGAGACAGGUGGUGCAUGGCUGUCGUCAGCUCGUGUCGUGAGAUGUUGGGUUAAGUCCCGCAACGAGCGCAACCCUUGUCAUUAGUUGCCAUCAUUAAGUUGGGCACUCUAAUGAGACUGCCGGUGACAAACCGGAGGAAGGUGGGGAUGACGUCAAGUCAUCAUGCCCCUUAUGACCUGGGCUACACACGUGCUACAAUGGACGGUACAACGAGAAGCGAACCUGCGAAGGCAAGCGGAUCUCUUAAAGCCGUUCUCAGUUCGGACUGUAGGCUGCAACUCGCCUACACGAAGCUGGAAUCGCUAGUAAUCGCGGAUCAGCACGCCGCGGUGAAUACGUUCCCGGGCCUUGCACUCACCGCCCGUCA